UACGUAGGGGGCAAGCGUUAUCCGGAUUUACUGGGUGUAAAGGGAGUGUAGACGGCAAGGCAAGUCUGAAGUGAAAGCCCGGUGCUUAACGCCGGGACUGCUUUGGAAACUGUUUGGCUGGAGUGCCGGAGAGGUAAGCGGAAUUCCUAGUGUAGCGGUGAAAUGCGUAGAUAUUAGGAAGAACACCAGUGGCGAAGGCGGCUUACUGGACGGUAACUGACGUUGAGGCUCGAAAGCGUGGGGAGCAAACAGG
Molecule: ribosomal RNA, 253 nt
Filed under: Fusicatenibacter saccharivorans
Lineage: Bacteria; Bacillati; Bacillota; Clostridia; Lachnospirales; Lachnospiraceae
Description: partial 16S ribosomal RNA
Rfam family: Bacterial small subunit ribosomal RNA
Source: RNAcentral